RNAcentral lists this transfer RNA (73 nucleotides) under Camelus bactrianus (Bactrian camel). It matches the Rfam family "tRNA". From Rfam's summary of the family: Transfer RNA (tRNA) molecules are approximately 80 nucleotides in length. RNAcentral also lists the same sequence under 1 other name. Lineage: Eukaryota; Metazoa; Chordata; Mammalia; Artiodactyla; Camelidae. The record is from Rfam by way of RNAcentral.
GAGGGUAUAGCUCAAGCAGUAGAGUGCAUGCUUAGCAUGCACGAGGUCCUGGGUUCAAUCGCCAGUACUUCCU